UGCCGCUAGCGUGACGUAUAAUCUAGUGGACGGUUCUUCAUAAACAGCUAGUCAACCACCUCGGUAGCUUGCUAGCCAACAUAGCCGGAAGAUUCAAGCUAUUUAGACGCUUUCGGUGUAUAUUAGCUUCUGUGUUUUAGACACGCUUCUGUCUUAUUUACUUGUUAACCUAUUUAAUAUUACGUUUUUAUUAGUCAGCUAUAGUAGCUGGCUGGUUAAGUUAGCACUAGCCUAGUCGCUAAUGAUAGCUAGCUAGCUAACAUCCACGAACAUGAGCUCCCUAAACUACUCCCCUCCUGUUAAAGAAGAGGAGGUCUGCUGGACGGAGAAAGAAGCUCUGGGGCUGAACAUUGUCGUGAAAGAAGAGAAGGAAGAGGAGGAUGUCACAGUAAAACAAGAAGUAGAGGGUGAGGCUGUUACCGUGAAAGAAGAAGAGGAAGACUCGUUCAGAGUGAAAGAGGAGGAGGCUGUUACAGUAAAAGAAGAGGAGGAUGCAGUUUUUGGAGUGAAGAAGGAAGGAGAGAUUACUGUCACAUUGAAAGAUGAAGAGGUGGAUAUCAGAGAUCUGAGUAACACCAGAGAGAGACGUGGCUAUCAUGGAUCCUCUGGGGAGCCUCAACAACAACAUCAUGAUGCUGACGAGGCAGAGAAGAGUCUUUCCAUAUCAGAAUUCCUCAAGAAACACCAGCAGAGACCCACAGGGAAAAAAUCUCAUUGCUGCUCUGACUGUGGGAAGAGAUUCACCUCCUCAGCAGGCAUUACAAUUCAUCAGAGAAUCCACACAGGAGAGAAACCUUAUUGCUGUGAUCAAUGUGGGAAGAGAUAUCUUACAUGUAGCAGUCUGACUAAACACCAGAGAACACACACAGGAGAGAAUCUUUUUAGCUGCUCUGACUGUGGAAAGAGUUUUGUUUCUUCAGGAUGUUUAGAAUCACACCAGAGAACACACACAGGAGAGAAACCAUAUAGAUGUGAUCAAUGUGGGAAUAGAUAUGUUACAUCUAGCAGUCUGACUAAACAUCAGAGAACACACACAGGAGAGAAACCGUAUAACUGUAAACAAUGUGGGAAGACUUUUAGUCAGUCAUUCAGCCUGAUAUCACACCAGAGAACACACACAGGAGAGAAACCGUAUAGCUGUGAUCAAUGUGGGAAGAGUUUUGUUACUUCUAGCAGUCUGACUAUACACCAGAGAACACACACAGGAGAGAAACCUUAUAGCUGUGAUCAAUGUGACAAGAGAUACUCUAGUAAAAGAUCUCUGAUCAAACAUCAGAAAAUACAUACAGGAAGGAGUUGUUUCACGAUAUCAAUGAAAUAGAAUCUCACUAUUUAGAAUGUUUUAACGUUGUAGUAGGAGUAUUUUAAUGUUGUCAUAAUGUAGAACCCUAAAUAUUUGUCCCCUGUUCUAUUGAUUUCAGCAUAAGGAUAUUGGCCUGGCUCUGAAUUGAAAAGAGUACUAUUUAUGUGAUCUAACAAAAAGUGACUAACAAAAAAAUAGUUGUGUUGCACUUACCGCGUUGGCGACCCACUUGAAUCAAUAUGUAGCUAGCUGUUUUCUACAAAUUGUCUUCUAACCAGUGAUGUACACAUUAUUCCCAGAUUCCGUGUGUUUUUUGAACUGUUCGUUUUAACAGGACGUGUAAGUGAAUUAUUGCCAAUACAUAUGAAAAAGGGAUGUACAUUUGGUGUUGAUAUUUUAUAUUUACAAUUCAUGUAAUAUUUAGUCAUUGUGAUUAUUUAUGCAACCAACUGACAAUUUUUGAUUGCAAUUAUAUUGACAUUGUUGCCCUGCUUUUAGAAUAUCAGGGUUUAUUCUCAGAUGUGCCAACCCAAAUGUACUAGAGAAUUACAUUAUGGACUGGGCCCCGAUCCAACAACAUGCCUAUCAAGUGUACCCUGAAAAAAGAGAGAAGCUCCGCAGUGAGGUGUAAAGUUACUAAGGAUAUUGCAGGAUUUCCCUCUUGAAAUCAGACAUGUCCGUGGUAAGGACAACUCGGUUGCUGAUUGUCUCAAGGGUGGGCAGUCAAAAAUAUUUGUGUUUUGUGUUUGCCAGUGCGUUACCAUGGAUCACAAUUUAUUUUGACUGUACAUUUUUUCCGUAUUGUUUAUUUUGACUGUACAUUUUGACUGUACCAAUCACUGUACAUUUCCGUAUUGUUUAGGUUCUAGAGUUCUGAUUCUUUUUUGUUUGGGGGAUACCUAGUCAGUUGUACAACUGAAUGCAUUCAACUGAAAUGUGUCUUCGGUACACUGAUUGGUGUCACCUCGUUAGUCAGUAUGUGUUACACCUGUGCUGGCUUGUCCAUCUCGUUAGUGGGAAGGUGUUUCAGCUGAGCUGGUCCAGGUGCUAUUUAAGAGUGUCUAGCCCAGUGCUCCAGUUGUCUUGAUAGAUGUGGAGAGUCAACACCUUUAGUUGAUCUACCUUUUUUGUUAAAGAUGUUUUCAUUUCAGGUUGAAGCUUCUUUCUGAAGAGAGCUUAUUUUUUUAAAUGAAUCAAUACAAGCAAACAAGAUCGGUUCCGGGGAUUGGUAUGGCAAAUACCUUACGAUUUGCCUGGACUGAAAAGGAGAUGGAGCCGUGGAGUAGAGAGACAUUUGGAAGGACCAUUUUGAUGGGAUGCCUCAGGAUAGAGGUGAAGGAAGUGCUCUGCCUUCAAGGGAACCCGAAUGAGAAGGCUUUCGAUGUGACGUUUCACAAAGAAGAAAAACAUGACGAAGUAAUGAAGAUGGCAAAGGAAGCGGAGAAAACGGGACCCCUGUGCCAUUAUGCGGUGACCAGCCUUGCAAAGAACAACUUCAGGGUGGUCACCGUAACCAUGUACAAUCCGCAUGUGAAAGAUGAAGAGGUGAGGCCUUUCUGGGGAGGUACAUGGACAAUGUCUCCUCAGCAAGGUACCUCAGGGACUCCCUGGGUUUCUGGAACGGGAGGAGAGGGUUCCAGGCGUUACUCAGGGAGUCCCCGAAGAGUGUGGAUGGCUACCUCCAUCCUCCGGCGAUGUUCUCCCUGGGGGCUGACAGGGGAACACUCUACUAUGCCCGUCAGCCCCCGUUCUGCAGGCGUUGUAUGGCCUACGGCCAUAUCCUGGCCUCGUGCAGCGCCAAGAUUUUGUGGGUCGGAAGAGCACGAGGCCAAGGAAUGUGACGAGCCCAAGGCUUGCCACGGGUGUGGCUCGAGCACACCUGUGGCGUGAUUGCCCGGCUCGUCACAGGUCAUACGCGUCUGCAGCUGGGGGGGGGGGAGCGGGGGAUGGGGGGAGGAAAGAGAGGACGCAUGCGGAUUGUACGGAUGGCACAGGGGAAAGGACGAAGAAGGGAAGAAGGAAGAGGCGAAAAGAAAGAGGAGAGAAGAUGGAAAGAAGGAAAAAGAAGGAGAGAUUAAAAAGAAGGUGGAAGAACGUGGAGGAGCUGAGAAGAGGGAGAAGGGGACAGUGGCACGAGAAGGAGUGGAAGAGGGAACGGGGACAGUGACGGAG
Oncorhynchus kisutch (coho salmon) is the source of this 3475-nucleotide long non-coding RNA. RefSeq lists it as uncharacterized. The transcript is spliced from 2 exons. The record is from RefSeq and is a predicted model, not a curated record. Lineage: Eukaryota; Metazoa; Chordata; Actinopteri; Salmoniformes; Salmonidae.